This 341-nucleotide ribosomal RNA is filed under the name uncultured bacterium. RNAcentral describes it as "bacterial SSU rRNA". It matches the Rfam family "Bacterial small subunit ribosomal RNA", at positions 8 to 334 of the family's 1533-position model. The record is from RNAcentral.
AGAGUUUGAUUAUGGCUCAGGAUGAACGCUGGCGGCGUGCCUAACACAUGCAAGUCGAACGGAGUUAUUCGAGGAAGUUUUCGGAUGGAAUCAAAUGACUUAGUGGCGGACGGGUGAGUAACGCGUGGGAAACCUGCCCUGUACCGGGGGAUAACACUUAGAAAUAGGUGCUAAUACCGCAUAAGCGCACAGCUUCGCAUGGAGCAGUGUGAAAAACUCCGGUGGUACAGGAUGGUCCCGCGUCUGAUUAGCCAGUUGGCGGGGUAACGGCCCACCAAAGCGACGAUCAGUAGCCGGCCUGAGAGGGUGGACGGCCACAUUGGGACUGAGACACGGCCCAA